GCGGGCGUGGCGGAAUCGGUAGACGCCGGGGACUUAAAAUCCCCUGUCCCUUGUGACGUGCGGGUUCGAGUCCCGCCGCCCGCA
This 84-nucleotide transfer RNA is filed under the name Aurantiacibacter gangjinensis. Its description in RNAcentral is "Erythrobacter sp. K7-2 tRNA". It matches the Rfam family "tRNA". From Rfam's summary of the family: Transfer RNA (tRNA) molecules are approximately 80 nucleotides in length. Their secondary structure includes four short double-helical elements and three loops (D, anti-codon, and T loops). Lineage: Bacteria; Pseudomonadati; Pseudomonadota; Alphaproteobacteria; Sphingomonadales; Erythrobacteraceae. The record is from Rfam by way of RNAcentral.